Molecule: unclassified non-coding RNA, 240 nt
Filed under: Glomus sp.
Lineage: Eukaryota; Fungi; Glomeromycota; Glomeromycetes; Glomerales; Glomeraceae
Description: partial contains 5.8S ribosomal RNA and internal transcribed spacer 2
Rfam family: 5.8S ribosomal RNA (bases 1-65)
Source: RNAcentral
GUGAAUCAUCGAAUUUUUGAACGCAAAUUGCACUCUCUUCGGAGAGUAUGCCUGUUUGAGGGUCAGCCUAAAAAAAAUCGACAUAGUUGCUGUUACGCUGUGACAUUCUUCGGAAAUUUGGUCAUCUUAAACCUUUGGGUUUAAUCGGUUUAAAAUUUUCUUUACGUUCCCAAGUUCGUUUCUAAGAUUUUAUUUUCUUAUACAUUUAUGUUAUCUAUUGUUAUUACAUGUUGCCCUUCU